GUGCUCGCUUUGGCAGCACAUAUACUAAAACUGGAACGAUGCAGAGAAGAUUAGCAUGGCCCCUGCACAAGGAUGACACACAAAUUUGUGAAGCUUUCCAUAUUUUU
This 107-nucleotide small nuclear RNA is filed under the name Microcebus murinus (gray mouse lemur). The record is from RNAcentral. Lineage: Eukaryota; Metazoa; Chordata; Mammalia; Primates; Cheirogaleidae.